UAGAGAAAGACAAGAACGACCUAAGCAGUAGAGGAAAUGACCGAUCUAAAGAGUACAAGAGACUGUGCAUCAGAAAUGCAGAAGGGGUGAUAAACCAGAAUAGGUGAAAGUAGACCUGUCUGAAGCCCAAGCGACAUAAGACAGACAAGUCGUCAGGGAAGGAGACAGUAAAGUCAGCCACCAACAAUGGGAACAAAAUAGAGCAACUGGUAAACAUGCAGAACAAAGUAAAUAUGGCUUGAAGGUCCUUGGCGGUACACCCACUGACUCCUGAUGUUCUGCCAUUGGUAAUCCAUUGCUUUCUCU
This is a long non-coding RNA of Cervus elaphus (red deer), 306 nucleotides long. RefSeq lists it as uncharacterized. The record is from RefSeq and is a predicted model, not a curated record. The transcript is spliced from 4 exons. NCBI's taxonomy places the organism in Eukaryota, Metazoa, Chordata, Mammalia, Artiodactyla, Cervidae.